GAUGAACGCUGGCGGCGUGCUUAACACAUGCAAGUCGAACGGAAAGGCUCCUGCUUGCCGGCGUACUCGAUUGGCGAACGGGUGAGUGACACGUGGGGGAUCUGCCCUGCACUUCGUGAUAAGCCUGGGAAACUGGGUCUCAUACCGGAUAGGACCACAUUUUGGGUGGUGUGGUGGAAAGUUUUUCGGUGUGGGAUGGGCUCGCGGCCUUUCAGCCUGUUGGUGGGGUAGUGGCCUACCAAGGCGUCGACGGGGAGCCGGCCUGAGAGGGUGUACGGCCACAUUGGGAUCGUGCGACGGCCCAGAGUCGGACGGGAGGCAGCAGGGGGGAAUAUUGGACAAUGGGCGCAAGCGUGAGGCAGCGACGCCGCGUGGGGGAUGACGGCUUUUGUGUUGUAAACUCAUUUGGCUAGGGACGAAGCGUCUUUGUGACGGUACCUGGAGAAGAAGCACCGGCUAACUACGUG
RNAcentral lists this ribosomal RNA (467 nucleotides) under uncultured bacterium. Its description in RNAcentral is "partial 16S ribosomal RNA". It matches the Rfam family "Bacterial small subunit ribosomal RNA", at positions 28 to 507 of the family's 1533-position model. The record is from RNAcentral.